UACACUUGGUACCAUUAAAGGGAAGAAAAUAGUGUUGUAAGGUAGAAAAAAAAAGAAAGCACUUUCCUUUUGGCCCAUACCAUGUUUCCUCAAUAACCUCAUUGAUUUGAUUUCCCACUCCAAAAAUUUCCCAUCUCACUAUAUCACUAAUCACAUUUCAUCUCUCCCUUCAAUAAUCAUGUCUAAUAGUGGGAGAGUGGAAGGCUCAUCUUCCGCAACGACUGCCACUGCACCGCCUCUAAGCCGAUACGAGUCCCAGAAGCGUCGCGACUGGAACACGUUCGGCCAGUACCUGCGGAACCAGCGUCCGCCCUUGUCCGUGCCAGAUUGCAACUACGGGCACGUCUUGGAGUUCAUGCGCUACCUCGACCAGUUCGGGAAGACAAAGGUGCACAUGCAAGGGUGCGUGUUUUUCGGGCAGCCAGAGCCGGCGGGCCCCUGCACCUGUCCACUCAGGCAGGCGUGGGGCAGCCUGGACGCCCUCAUAGGCCGCCUCAGGGCGGCCUAUGAGGAGAAUGGAGGGGUUCAGGAGACCAAUCCGUUCGCCAAUGGGGCGAUACGGGUCUACCUCCGGGAGGUCAGGGAUUCCCAGGCCAAGGCGCGGGGAAUCCCGUAUCGGAAGAAGAAGAAGAGGAAGAAGACUAGUGAAACAGUCACCUCCACUUUUCACCCUAUGCAGCAUUCUGAGGUCUGAGUUUCUACUAAGUAGGAGUACUUGGAGGUUGUAUGCUUGUGCAAGUGACCAUAUAUCUAGAGUGCAAUCUUGAAAGUGAAAGAAGAGAAGAUAUAUGGCUAAAAUGAUCCAUUCAGAAUUCAGAGAUAAUUGCAGUUUUAAGCUUAUAGCCGAAUUGAACAAGCAUACUGCAAUUCAUCAAUUUUAUAUACUAGUACUGUUUAUUUGUUAUAAACAAAAGAAUUUUGAUGGGAUUUAUAUUUCUUAGAAAUAUCAGUAAUUAACAGCAUUAUAUUUAUCUGUUUUGUUGAUGCACGAUUUAAAUGUCUUUAUUUUAAGUUUUGUUUAAGCAACUGGACAUUGAGUUUAUGAUAUGUAGUAGUAGUUUAUUUCAA
RNA transcript from Salvia splendens (bonfire salvia), 1068 nucleotides. It is a transcript of the gene named protein LIGHT-DEPENDENT SHORT HYPOCOTYLS 10, with no coding region annotated. Lineage: Eukaryota; Viridiplantae; Streptophyta; Magnoliopsida; Lamiales; Lamiaceae. The transcript has 3 exons. The record is from RefSeq and is a predicted model, not a curated record.